RNAcentral lists this transfer RNA (61 nucleotides) under Lamellodiscus spari. RNAcentral describes it as "tRNA-Thr". Lineage: Eukaryota; Metazoa; Platyhelminthes; Monogenea; Dactylogyridea; Diplectanidae. The record is from RNAcentral.
GUAAAAAUAGUUUAUUUAAAAUAUUGCUUUUGUAAAGCAAAGAUGACUUUGUUUUCUUAUU